UCAAAAUUUAUUUCCACCAGAAUACUUACUAAAAUUUCCCCCCUUGGUCUCCAAAUACUUAAGCAAAAUUAGGGCUUCUUCCAUAUCUAACCAAUCGCUUCCAAAUACUUUCGCCUUCUGCCGCGGUCGUCUCUGUCCUCUCUCGGUCUCUCCUCUACGGCUCUGCCUCGCCACCGCCGACCAGACAGCGUCAGCGGUCAAUCCAUCACUACGCCACACCAGCUCGGCAGCUUCGUCCCUAGGAAGAAGAACAACUGAACAAGGAGACGACGAGGAGUACUUCUGGCCGUUCUGGGUGGACGGCAGCUCGCCAACGGUUAGUCCUUCAACCUUCGAUUGAACGAUUUUGAGGAUUUUUGCAAAUCUGCCCUAAUUACUUGACCUUGCAGGUUGCAGAUUUUGCCAUUUUGCUGAUAGAUGUGUGCUGGAAAGCUGGAUAUGAUGUUUCUAAACAGUACUGGGUGGAGAGAGAGAUAUUAGGAACUGGAUUCGAAAUAUUGAGCAACAUGCCUCCAACAAUGUAAACAAAAUACUUGUAGGAAACAAAGCUGACAUGGACGAAAGCAAAAGAGCUGUGCCAACAUCUAAGGGACAAGCACUUGCUGAUGAGUUUGGGAUUAAGUUUUUUGAAACUGUAAGUAUAUUGGAACAACCAAUAAAAACAUUCAAUGUUGGUUUCUUUUCUUACUUACUAGUAUAGAUGCCAGGCAUGGUUGUUGCUUUUUUUUUUUUUUUCUUAUAGUUGUGCAUUUAACUGCAUUUGUCACUUACAUCUUAUGAAGGUAUGUUUCUAAUGCUCAGUGUUAUAUAUUAAUGGUUCUUUUUCUGUCUUGUGAACUAAGAUCAUGGACCAUUUGAUUCAUAUUUGACUUUGUUUCCGUGA
This is a long non-coding RNA of Ipomoea triloba (trilobed morning glory), 883 nucleotides long. RefSeq lists it as uncharacterized. The record is from RefSeq and is a predicted model, not a curated record. Lineage: Eukaryota; Viridiplantae; Streptophyta; Magnoliopsida; Solanales; Convolvulaceae. The transcript has 5 exons.